CUACGUGCCAGCAGCCGCGGUAAUACGGAAGGUCCAGGCGUUAUCCGGAUUUAUUGGGUUUAAAGGGAGCGUAGGCGGAUUGUUAAGUCAGCGGUUAAAGGGUGUGGCUCAACCAUGCAUUGCCGUUGAAACUGGCGAUCUUGAGUGCAGACAGGGAUGCCGGAAUUCGUGGUGUAGCGGUGAAAUGCUUAGAUAUCACGAAGAACUCCGAUCGCGAAGGCAGGUGUCCGGGCUGCAACUGACGCUGAGGCUCGAAAGUGUGGGUAUCAAACAGGAUUAGAUACCCUGGUAGUCCACACAGUAAACGAUGUAUACUCGCGGUUUGCGAUAGACAGUAAGCCGCCAAGCGAAAGCAUUAAGUAUACCACCUGGGGAGUACGCCGGCAACGGUGAAACUCAAAGGAAUUGACGGGGGCCCGCACAAGCGGAGGAACAUGUGGUUUAAUUCGAUGAUACGCGAGGAACCUUACCCGGGCUUGAAUUGCAGAGGAAGGAUUUAGAGAUA
This 505-nucleotide ribosomal RNA is filed under the name uncultured bacterium. Its description in RNAcentral is "bacterial SSU rRNA". It matches the Rfam family "Bacterial small subunit ribosomal RNA", at positions 501 to 1008 of the family's 1533-position model. The record is from RNAcentral.